This is a long non-coding RNA of Cryptomeria japonica (Japanese cedar), 375 nucleotides long. RefSeq lists it as uncharacterized. The transcript is spliced from 2 exons. Lineage: Eukaryota; Viridiplantae; Streptophyta; Pinopsida; Cupressales; Cupressaceae. The record is from RefSeq and is a predicted model, not a curated record.
AGGCCGUACUUGGCGAUCACAUUGAUCAAAAGGGAUCCUUCGUAUCUCUAGACAAGUUGUGCUUUGAUUUCUCACAUGGUGUUAUUGAGCCAUCAAAGUAUCAUUUGCUCCUUUGGUUGUGUUAUUUCUCAUAGGCAAACUUGUUAAUGUUGAUGCUUUGAAGCAAAUAGAGGAAAUUGUAAAUCAACAGAUUCAAGAUGAGUUAGAUGUAUAUGCAAAAGAAGCUAGCCUAAUGGAGGCAAAACACAUUUGGGUUUUCGAGCUAUGUUUGAAGAAGUAAGGAACCUUCAUUAACGAGGGUUGAACUCAAAGAAAUUGUUUUAUUUUGAUAAGUUGUGAAAGCUAAUAUUUUACUAAAUUGCUAUACCUUUUGAA